RNAcentral lists this unclassified non-coding RNA (288 nucleotides) under uncultured fungus. RNAcentral's name for it is "partial contains 5.8S rRNA and ITS2". The record is from RNAcentral. Lineage: Eukaryota; Fungi.
AACGCAACUUGCGCCGGUUUACCUGCAUGCCUGUUUCAGUGUGCUAGGGGAGUAAACUAUCAUUAUAAAAUAUAAUGCGAUUGAGGCACAUUUAUGUUCUUCUUUCGUUAAAAAUGAAGGUGUGAAAGAUGAGUAAUCUCUCACACUGGCAAACGAAGUAGUCAUGCUUGUUCGUGCUCCCGGUUAACCAGUGCUAAAGGUUUUUGCUUAGCUAUAAAUCACAGCUAAUCAACUAAAUAUCUCCAAAUUUAGCAUCUGAAAUCAGACAGGAAUACCCGCUGAACUUAA